GACGAACGCUGGCGGCGUGCUUAACACAUGCAAGUCGAACGGAAAGGCCCUGCUUUUGUGGGGUGCUCGAGUGGCGAACGGGUGAGUAACACGUGAGUAACCUGCCCUUGACUUUGGGAUAACUUCAGGAAACUGGGGCUAAUACCGGAUAGGAGCUCCUGCUGCAUGGUGGGGGUUGGAAAGUUUCGGCGGUUGGGGAUGGACUCGCGGCUUAUCAGCUUGUUGGUUGGGUAGUGGCUUACCAAGGCUUUGACGGGUAGCCGGCCUGAGAGGGUGACCGGGCACAUUGGGACUGCGAUACGGACCAGACUCCUACGGGAGGCAGCAGUGGGGAAUAUUGCACAAUGGGCGGAAGCCUGAUGCAGCAACGCCGCGUGCGGGAUGACGGCCUUCGGGUUGUAAACAGCUUUCGCCUGUGACGAAGCGUGAGUGACGGUAAUGGGUAAAGAAGCACCGGCUAACUACGUG
This 468-nucleotide ribosomal RNA is filed under the name uncultured bacterium. Its description in RNAcentral is "partial 16S ribosomal RNA". It matches the Rfam family "Bacterial small subunit ribosomal RNA", at positions 28 to 507 of the family's 1533-position model. The record is from RNAcentral.